GGUCUUGUAGCUCAGUUGGUUAGAGCGUUGUUCUUAUGAGUCAAAGGUUGCGGGUUCAAGCCUUGUCGGGACCA
Ipomoea nil (Japanese morning glory) is the source of this 74-nucleotide transfer RNA. It matches the Rfam family "tRNA". From Rfam's summary of the family: Transfer RNA (tRNA) molecules are approximately 80 nucleotides in length. Their secondary structure includes four short double-helical elements and three loops (D, anti-codon, and T loops). Further hydrogen bonds mediate the characteristic L-shaped molecular structure. tRNAs have two regions of fundamental functional importance: the anti-codon, which is responsible for specific mRNA codon recognition, and the 3' end, to which the tRNAs corresponding amino acid is attached (by aminoacyl-tRNA synthetases). tRNAs cope with the degeneracy of the genetic code in two manners: having more than one tRNA (with a specific anti-codon) for a particular amino acid; and 'wobble' base-pairing, i.e. permitting non-standard base-pairing at the 3rd anti-codon position. The record is from Rfam. NCBI's taxonomy places the organism in Eukaryota, Viridiplantae, Streptophyta, Magnoliopsida, Solanales, Convolvulaceae.